AUGUCGUUAAAAAUUGCUUGGUCUCGGUAUCAUAGCCAACAGAUACAAAAGAGAGCGAAUAUUCGCAGCUCUUUCUUCUCACUUCUGAAAAAUAUCUACAAAAUUAUUAACCGAAAAACCAGAAAAAAAGAAAAAGCAAAAAAUUGAAAAACCGCCAUGGCAAAAUCUCUCUUCGUCUGCAUCUCUCUCCUCCUCCUCCUCCGCCUCACCUCCCAAACCACUGACCCGAGCACCCCGAACCGAAACUCAAUUUCAAGCCCAUCUCCGGCCCACACCGAGCUCACCAACUACGGCUUCCCAAUUGGCCUCCUCCCCACCGCCGUCAAGAACUACACCAUCAACCGCACCACCGGCGACUUCAUCGUCGACCUCGGCGGCGCGUGCAAGGUAACCCUCCCUCCUGACAACUACCUGGCCACCUACUCGAAGAAAAUCACCGGAAAGAUCGUCGAGGGCAAAAUCGCUGAGAUCAACGGCAUCAGCGUCCGGGCCUUCUUCCAGUGGUGGUCGAUCACCGGAAUUCGGUCGAGCGGCGACAACUUGGUGUUCGAGGUCGGCAUGGUCUCCGCCAAGUACCCAUCUAAGAACUUCGACGAGAGCCCUGCUUGCGAGGGCCGCCACUCCUCUUCUUAGCAGGGUCUCUAGUUGCGAUGCCUCUCAUAUGCGACGACGCCCAGUUGCCGACUCGAAGACCGAUGCUACUUAAGCAAAUCAAAUUAGGUAUUAAGACAUUUGUUUGAUCCGAACAAUGAAAGGGGCAAUAAGUGAUCCUUCUGUCUUGUAUGUAUACAAGUACUAUUAUAAUAUAUGCCACGGCCUGCAGUGUUGUUACUUUCUUUCGGUUUGACUAAGAAUUGUAAGAUGGUUAGAAAUAUUAAUAUAUUUAUCUUUUAACAUUGGUUUGACUGUCUAAUUAUUUGUUUAUUGCCUUAUGGCUUUGAGGAAUAAGCAUGAUUAGUAUUUUAAUA
Molecule: small RNA, 968 nt
Filed under: Malus domestica (apple)
Lineage: Eukaryota; Viridiplantae; Streptophyta; Magnoliopsida; Rosales; Rosaceae
Description: sRNA MD15G0165600
Source: RNAcentral